This 2923-nucleotide ribosomal RNA is filed under the name Klebsiella pneumoniae. Its description in RNAcentral is "bacterial LSU rRNA". It matches the Rfam family "Bacterial large subunit ribosomal RNA". RNAcentral also lists the same sequence under 1 other name. Lineage: Bacteria; Pseudomonadati; Pseudomonadota; Gammaproteobacteria; Enterobacterales; Enterobacteriaceae. The record is from RNAcentral.
GGGUUGUGAGGUUAAGCGACUAAGCGUACACGGUGGAUGCCCUGGCAGUCAGAGGCGAUGAAGGACGUGCUAAUCUGCGAAAAGCGUCGGUAAGGUGAUAUGAACCGUUAUAACCGGCGAUGUCCGAAUGGGGAAACCCAGUGCAAUUCGUUGCACUAUCGUUAACUGAAUACAUAGGUUAACGAGGCGAACCGGGGGAACUGAAACAUCUAAGUACCCCGAGGAAAAGAAAUCAACCGAGAUUCCCCCAGUAGCGGCGAGCGAACGGGGAGCAGCCCAGAGUCUGAAUCAGCUUGUGUGUUAGUGGAACGGUCUGGAAAGUCCGACGGUACAGGGUGAUAGUCCCGUACACCAAAAUGCACAGGUUGUGAACUCGAAGAGUAGGGCGGGACACGUGGUAUCCUGUCUGAAUAUGGGGGGACCAUCCUCCAAGGCUAAAUACUCCUGACUGACCGAUAGUGAACCAGUACCGUGAGGGAAAGGCGAAAAGAACCCCGGCGAGGGGAGUGAAAAAGAACCUGAAACCGUGUACGUACAAGCAGUGGGAGCACCUUCGGGUGUGACUGCGUACCUUUUGUAUAAUGGGUCAGCGACUUAUAUUCUGUAGCAAGGUUAACCGUAUAGGGGAGCCGCAGGGAAACCGAGUCUUAACUGGGCGUUAAGUUGCAGGGUAUAGACCCGAAACCCGGUGAUCUAGCCAUGGGCAGGUUGAAGGUUGGGUAACACUAACUGGAGGACCGAACCGACUAAUGUUGAAAAAUUAGCGGAUGACUUGUGGCUGGGGGUGAAAGGCCAAUCAAACCGGGAGAUAGCUGGUUCUCCCCGAAAGCUAUUUAGGUAGCGCCUCGUGAACUCAUCUUCGGGGGUAGAGCACUGUUUCGGCUAGGGGGUCAUCCCGACUUACCAACCCGAUGCAAACUACGAAUACCGAAGAAUGUUAUCACGGGAGACACACGGCGGGUGCUAACGUCCGUCGUGAAGAGGGAAACAACCCAGACCGCCAGCUAAGGUCCCAAAGUCAUGGUUAAGUGGGAAACGAUGUGGGAAGGCACAGACAGCCAGGAUGUUGGCUUAGAAGCAGCCAUCAUUUAAAGAAAGCGUAAUAGCUCACUGGUCGAGUCGGCCUGCGCGGAAGAUGUAACGGGGCUAAACCAUGCACCGAAGCUGCGGCAGCGACACUAUGUGUUGUUGGGUAGGGGAGCGUUCUGUAAGCCUGCGAAGGUGUGCUGUGAGGCAUGCUGGAGGUAUCAGAAGUGCGAAUGCUGACAUAAGUAACGAUAAAGCGGGUGAAAAGCCCGCUCGCCGGAAGACCAAGGGUUCCUGUCCAACGUUAAUCGGGGCAGGGUGAGUCGACCCCUAAGGCGAGGCCGAAAGGCGUAGUCGAUGGGAAACAGGUUAAUAUUCCUGUACUUGGUGUUACUGCGAAGGGGGGACGGAGAAGGCUAUGUUAGCCGGGCGACGGUUGUCCCGGUUUAAGCAUGUAGGCUGGUUGUCCAGGCAAAUCCGGAUAAUCAAGGCUGAGGUGUGAUGACGAGGCACUACGGUGCUGAAGUAACAAAUGCCCUGCUUCCAGGAAAAGCCUCUAAGCAUCAGGUAACAUUAAAUCGUACCCCAAACCGACACAGGUGGUCAGGUAGAGAAUACCAAGGCGCUUGAGAGAACUCGGGUGAAGGAACUAGGCAAAAUGGUGCCGUAACUUCGGGAGAAGGCACGCUGGUGUGUAGGUGAAGUCCCUGCGGAUGGAGCUGAGACCAGUCGAAGAUACCAGCUGGCUGCAACUGUUUAUUAAAAACACAGCACUGUGCAAACACGAAAGUGGACGUAUACGGUGUGACGCCUGCCCGGUGCCGGAAGGUUAAUUGAUGGGGUUAUCCGUAAGGAGAAGCUCUUGAUCGAAGCCCCGGUAAACGGCGGCCGUAACUAUAACGGUCCUAAGGUAGCGAAAUUCCUUGUCGGGUAAGUUCCGACCUGCACGAAUGGCGUAAUGAUGGCCAGGCUGUCUCCACCCGAGACUCAGUGAAAUUGAACUCGCUGUGAAGAUGCAGUGUACCCGCGGCAAGACGGAAAGACCCCGUGAACCUUUACUAUAGCUUGACACUGAACAUUGAGCCUUGAUGUGUAGGAUAGGUGGGAGGCUUUGAAGCGUGGACGCCAGUCUGCGUGGAGCCAACCUUGAAAUACCACCCUUUAAUGUUUGAUGUUCUAACGUUGGCCCCUUACCGGGGUUGCGGACAGUGUCUGGUGGGUAGUUUGACUGGGGCGGUCUCCUCCCAAAGCGUAACGGAGGAGCACGAAGGUUAGCUAAUCCUGGUCGGACAUCAGGAGGUUAGUGCAAUGGCAUAAGCUAGCUUGACUGCGAGCGUGACGGCGCGAGCAGGUGCGAAAGCAGGUCAUAGUGAUCCGGUGGUUCUGAAUGGAAGGGCCAUCGCUCAACGGAUAAAAGGUACUCCGGGGAUAACAGGCUGAUACCGCCCAAGAGUUCAUAUCGACGGCGGUGUUUGGCACCUCGAUGUCGGCUCAUCACAUCCUGGGGCUGAAGUAGGUCCCAAGGGUAUGGCUGUUCGCCAUUUAAAGUGGUACGCGAGCUGGGUUUAGAACGUCGUGAGACAGUUCGGUCCCUAUCUGCCGUGGGCGCUGGAGAAUUGAGGGGGGCUGCUCCUAGUACGAGAGGACCGGAGUGGACGCAUCACUGGUGUUCGGGUUGUCAUGCCAAUGGCACUGCCCGGUAGCUAAAUGCGGAAGAGAUAAGUGCUGAAAGCAUCUAAGCACGAAACUUGCCCCGAGAUGAGUUCUCCCUGAGACUUUAAGUCUCCUGAAGGAACGUUGAAGACGACGACGUUGAUAGGCCGGGUGUGUAAGCGCAGCGAUGCGUUGAGCUAACCGGUACUAAUGAACCGUGAGGCUUAACCUUACAACGCCGAAG